Molecule: ribosomal RNA, 449 nt
Filed under: uncultured bacterium
Lineage: Bacteria
Description: partial 16S ribosomal RNA
Rfam family: Bacterial small subunit ribosomal RNA
Source: RNAcentral
AACGAACGCUGGCGGCAUGCCUAACACAUGCAAGUCGAACGAAGGCUUCGGCCUUAGUGGCGCACGGGUGCGUAACGCGUGGGAAUCUGCCCUUGGGUACGGAAUAACUCUCCGAAAGGAGUGCUAAUACCGUAUGAUGUCGCAAGACCAAAGAUUUAUCGCCCAGGGAUGAGCCCGCGUAGGAUUAGGUAGUUGGUGGGGUAAAGGCUCACCAAGCCGACGAUCCUUAGCUGGUCUGAGAGGAUGAUCAGCCACACUGGGACUGAGACACGGCCCAGACUCCUACGGGAGGCAGCAGUGGGGAAUAUUGGACAAUGGGCGAAAGCCUGAUCCAGCAAUGCCGCGUGAGUGAUGAAGGCCUUAGGGUUGUAAAGCUCUUUUACCCGGGAAGAUAAUGACUGUACCGGGAGAAUAAGCCCCGGCUAACUCCGUGCCAGCAGCCGCGGUAA